Molecule: ribosomal RNA, 484 nt
Filed under: uncultured bacterium
Lineage: Bacteria
Description: partial 16S ribosomal RNA
Rfam family: Bacterial small subunit ribosomal RNA
Source: RNAcentral
GAUGAACGCUGGCGGCGUGCUUAACACAUGCAGGUCGAACGGUGAAGCAGGAGCUUGCUCUUGUGGAUCAGUGGCGAACGGGUGAGUAACACGUGAGCAACCUGCCCCUGACUCUGGGAUAAGCGCUGGAAACGGCGUCUAAUACUGGAUAUGUGAUGUGACCGCAUGGUCGGCAUCUGGAAAGAAUUUCGGUUGGGGAUGGGCUCGGGGGCUAUCAGCUUGUUGGUGGGGUAAUGGCUCACCAAGGCGUCGACGGGUAGCCGGCUGGAGAAGGUGAACGGCCCAACUGGGACUGAGACCCGGGCCAGACUCCUACGGGAGGCAGCAGGGGGGAAUAUUGGCCAAUGGGCGGAAGCCUGAUGCAGCAACGCCGCGUGAGGGAUGACGGCCUUCGGGUUGUAAACCUCUUUUAGCAGGGAAGAAGCGAAAGUGACGGUACCUGCAGAAAAAGCACCGGCUAACUACGUGCCAGCCGCCGCAGUAA